RNAcentral lists this ribosomal RNA (448 nucleotides) under uncultured bacterium. RNAcentral describes it as "bacterial SSU rRNA". It matches the Rfam family "Bacterial small subunit ribosomal RNA", at positions 328 to 793 of the family's 1533-position model. The record is from RNAcentral.
AGUCCAGACUCCUACGGGAGGCAGCAGUGGGGAAUAUUGCACAAUGGGGGAAACCCUGAUGCAGCGACGCCGCGUGGGUGAGGAAGUAUUUCGGUAUGUAAAGUUCUAUCAGCAGGGAAGAAAAUGACAGUACCUGACCAAGAAGCCCCGGCUAACUACGUGCCAGCAGCCGCGGUAAUACGUAGGGGGCGAGCGUUAUCCGGAUUCACUGGGUGUAAAGGGAGCGUAGACGGCCAUGCAAGCCAGGGGUGAAAGCCCGGGGCCCAACCCCGGGACUGCCCUUGGAACUGCAUGGCUGGAGUGCGGGAGGGGCAGGCGGAAUUCCUAGUGUAGCGGUGAAAUGCGUAGAUAUUAGGAGGAACACCAGUGGCGAAGGCGGCCUGCUGGACGAUGACUGACGUUGAGGCUCGAAAGCGUGGGGAGCAAACAGGAUUAGAUACCCGAGUAA